CUCAGACAGGUCCAGCAGCUGACCAAGGCCAGCACCCAUGGUUGACCAGCUGUCAGCCAACUGUCCAUGGCUACAGAACAGGGGCUGAAGAGGGAGAGAUCAGUGACCCAUCACCACUUACAUGGAGGGGACACAGCCCACACCUACUGCCCCUAUAUGGCGAAGAUGCUGCUGCAGAGAAAAGAAUAAGAAAUUGUGUAAUAGUCAUCAAUGGUGGCAAAUGAGAAGCAUAGGCAUGCUGAACAAAGACAUGACCAAAACAAAAGCAAAAAGUAAGCCUCACACCUCUCAGUCAUACGGGUUUCAUGAGGCUAGAGAAUAAGAGCUGGAGGGGCUCUUGGACACCAUCCUCUCCAACCACCUCAUGAAGGAGACUGGAAACCAAGGUCCAGAGAGGGAAA
Long non-coding RNA from Cynocephalus volans (Philippine flying lemur), 401 nucleotides. RefSeq lists it as uncharacterized. The record is from RefSeq and is a predicted model, not a curated record. The transcript is spliced from 4 exons. NCBI's taxonomy places the organism in Eukaryota, Metazoa, Chordata, Mammalia, Dermoptera, Cynocephalidae.